Microcebus murinus (gray mouse lemur) is the source of this 1196-nucleotide non-coding RNA. Lineage: Eukaryota; Metazoa; Chordata; Mammalia; Primates; Cheirogaleidae. The record is from RefSeq and is a predicted model, not a curated record.
CAGAGGGUAAGUUUUGCUUCUCCACCGGUUACAGAUGCCUGCUGCUGGAGUUCCAGGAGCCUGUCUGGGAGGCACGAAGAUGACAGCAGUGACUGGGCACUUACUUUAAAUCAGCAACCCUGCCGCACGGGGUGAUCGUGACCAUCUCCGCUGCACGGAUGUGAACACGGAGGCUCAGCCAGUCAAUCCACUCACCUAAAGAGUGGACCUGGGAUACGAACCUAGGCAGUGCCACUCGAAUCUGAGUGCGUAACCGCUCCUGUAUUCUUCCCCGUCACCGCGUCAUCUUCAGGGAGACAUAUGUGGAUGAAACAAUGUGAGCCGAGAGAGAAGGAAGCUCAGAAAGGCUUCACAGAAGCAGACCCUUAACAAAAGCCCGGAGAUCUCAUUGUGAAGCCCAGCGUGUGCAAGAGACGACAGCAGAGCAGCUCGGUUUGCAGCAGGCGGGGACCCUGGGGACUGCCUGCUCAGCUGACCUAGACCCUGCCUCAACCCCUUCAGGAACGUUCACGGAACCCCAAUUCUCCCCAGGAAUUGAAUAUGGCUCCGGUGCGCGCCAGCCCUUGAAUUUUACCACUGGGACAACUGAGGCCCCGCGAGGAGGCUGCAUCAGUAGUGGGUGUGUGGAGUGGUGUUCCCCAGAUCCCCGGACUGGAACCGGGCGGGGGUCUGCUGAGCGGUAGUCCCAACUCCACCUCCUCCGGGCUUCCCUUCCAGGCUAGCGGAGCACCCUGACCCAAGGCCUCCAGGGUUGUCAUGAGGAGUAAAGGAGUUAAUACUUGCAAAGUACCUGGACGAGUGCCUGGCAUGCGGGUGCUCAACAGGUGGGCGCUAUUAUUGUUGUCAUCGCCAUCUGCACCUCUCCAGCCAUCGUCGUCAGCAACAGUUAAGUUGAUCAACCACCACGUGGAUCAGUCCUCGUGCUUGGGUGCCGUGAGGGCAUUGGGGGCCAUUGCCUACGUUUUGCUCACCAAUUCCUUGGAGAUGGACACUCAAUUGACAACAUAGCAGUGAGGAUCCCUGGCCACCAGUGGAAGGGUUUCUGCUCCCAGGAGCGGGGUCCCUGGCCUAGGAGUCGGCAAACUUUCAGUAAUGGUGAGAUUGUAAAUGUUUUUGGCUGCAUGGGCUAUGCGGCUUCUGUUGUGACUGCUUAACUCUGCUGUGGUUGCACCAAGGCAGCGGGAGACCACAUGUAA